Molecule: ribosomal RNA, 443 nt
Filed under: uncultured bacterium
Lineage: Bacteria
Description: SSU rRNA
Rfam family: Bacterial small subunit ribosomal RNA
Source: RNAcentral
AGAGCGAACGCUGGCGGCAGGCUUAACACAUGCAAGUCGAGCGCCCCGCAAGGGGAGCGGCAGACGGGAGAGUAACACGUGGGAACGUACCUUUCGGUUCGGAACAACCCAGGGAAACUUGGGCUAAUACCGGAUACGCCCGCAAGGGGAAAGAUUUAUCGCCGGAAGAUCGGCCCGCGUCUGAUUAGCUAGUUGGUGAGGUAACGGCUCACCAAGGCGACGAUCAGUAGCUGGUCUGAGAGGAUGAUCAGCCUCACUGGGACUGAGACACGGCCCAGACUCCUACGGGAGGCAGCAGUGGGGAAUAUUGGACAAUGGGCGCAAGCCUGAUCCAGCCAUGCCGCGUGGGUGAUGAAGGCCCUAGGGUUGUAAAGCCCUUUCGGCGGGAAGAUAAUGACGGUACCCGCAGAAGAAGCCCCGGCUAACUUCGUGCCAGCAGCCGC